This 236-nucleotide long non-coding RNA is filed under the name Nicotiana benthamiana. RNAcentral's name for it is "long non-coding RNA (NBEN_LNC040387)". Lineage: Eukaryota; Viridiplantae; Streptophyta; Magnoliopsida; Solanales; Solanaceae. The record is from RNAcentral.
GGGAAAUGAUGAUGAAUGAUUUCUUUGUUUUUUUUAUUCUAUUGUGAUAUGUUUUAUUGUCCCCUCCUUAUGUAAUUGCGUUUUCUUUCCAAUAAAUAAAUAAGUUUUAUUUCAUCCUUGGUAUCUUAUUAUAUUAUUUUUGCUAAUGGCAAAAGGGGGAAGAUAACGGGAUAACGGGUAUGCACUCUCAAUUCUUAUUAGCUUAAAUUGAGGGGGAAUUUCAUAUAUUGAGGGGG